This 854-nucleotide ribosomal RNA is filed under the name uncultured archaeon. RNAcentral's name for it is "bacterial SSU rRNA". It matches the Rfam family "Archaeal small subunit ribosomal RNA", at positions 19 to 857 of the family's 1478-position model. The record is from RNAcentral.
AGAUCCGACUGCUAUUCGGGUAAGACUAAGCCAUGCAAGUCGAAUGGAACAGCUUGUUCCAUGGCGAACUGCUCAGUAACAAGUAAUCAACUUACCCUUCAGUGGAGAAUAACCUCGGGAAACUGAGGCUAAUACUUCAUAGUUGGAAAUUCCUGGAAUGGUUUUCCAUCGAAAGAUAUUUCUAAAUGCGGAAAAUUCGCUGAAGGAUAGGAUCGCUUUCGAUUACGGUUGUUGGUGAGGUAAUGGCUCACCAAGCCUAUGAUCGAUAAGGGCCGUGAGAGCGGUAGCCCUGAGAUGGAUACUGAGACAAUGAUCCAGGCCUUACGAGGCGCAGCAGGCGCGAAACCUUUACAAUGCACGAAAGUGUGAUAAGGUUACCCGGAGUGCUAAAAUUAAAUUUUAGCUGUUAUAGGUGUGUAAAUAACCCUAUGAGAAAGGAGAGGGCAAGGCUGGUGCCAGCCGCCGCGGUAAAACCAGCUCUUCAAGUGGUCGGGAAUAUUAUUGGGCUUAAAGUGUCCGUAGCCGGUUUGGUAAGUUCCUGGUUAAAUCUGGCAGCUUAACUGUCAGUCAGCUAGGAAUACUACUUUACUAGAGGGUGGGAAAGGUUUGAGGUACUCCAGGGGUAGCGGUGAAAUGCGAUAAUCCUUGGGGGACCACCAGUGGCGAAGGCGUCAGACUGGAACACGCCUGACGGUGAGGGACGAAAGCCAGGGGAGCGAACGGGAUUAGAUACCCCGGUAGUCCUGGCCGUAAACGAUGCGUGCUANGUGUUGGUAGGGCUUUGAGCUGUAUCAGUGCCGUNNGNAAACUGUUAAGCGCGCCGCCUGGGAAGUACGCUCGCAAGGGUGAAACUU